AAGGGCUCUGCCCUCAGGAUACCAGAGUGGAGUCUCUGGCCGGGGUGAUCCGUCUCGCUCUAGGACGCACUGGCACUGCUUCCNUCUGACAGCAGGCGCCGUUAGCUCCCCAAGGAGAUCAGGGAGGCCGCAAGAAACAGCCNGCGGCCCCAGCAUUCUGCUCCACAGAGCCCCCCUUGGCCGGCCGCCNUGACCUCUGGAAGACCAGAGAGGGCGGCGAAUUCUGGCAGAGGCACGCGGGUUGCCUCAGAGGCAAAGCCGCCUUCGCNGUAGAGGCAGGAAAGCCGGAGUCACGCUCCGCCUGGCCAACAUCGCUCAGGGAUUGGAGUCCCCGGGGGAAUNGGAGCAGGACUUGGAGGGACAGGAAUUGGUGUAGGAGCAAAACCUCCCAAACCAGGUGGUCUUGGGGUUGGAACUGGAGCACUAGGUGGCCUCUACCCAGGCGGGGUCUACCCAGGUGCUGGUGCUGUCGGAGCCGCCGCUGCUUACAAAGCCGCAGCCAAAGCUGGUGAGACAAAGCUAGCAAGGCCCCGCUGACCGUGGAGGUCCAUCCUCUCGCGGUUCUCCUCGCUUCAGCUUUUUCCAGCCCUCGCCUGCUUUCCCCAGAACGUGG
Molecule: long non-coding RNA, 613 nt
Filed under: Salvator merianae (Argentine black and white tegu)
Lineage: Eukaryota; Metazoa; Chordata; Lepidosauria; Squamata; Teiidae
Description: lncRNA (ENSSMRG00000008766.1)
Source: RNAcentral